GUUUACGGAGGGAGUAUUUAUUAGUGAUUACUGGAACUCUUUCUUAUUAUUACUAUUGAUUUUCGCAUUAUCUGAUUACUCCAUCAAUGAAUCACCCUUUAAUUGUAUCUUUACGUAAGGUUAAACUUUUUUUUGUACCCGCAAAAAAAAACUUCUUUUUUUGUUUCCCUCAAGCAUACCAGGUCAAGCAUGUAGAAAAGUUGAAUGUUUAAUACUUGUUAGAUAAGCUCAGGUUCAGCAGUUUCAGAACAUUUUCGUUAUACAAAUAGUGCUUCAGGUCAAGAAGAUGUAUUAGUUUUGAAUUCUCCUUGUGAACACCUCCUUACUUCAGAGCAUCUAAAUAGUGAUGUACCCACUGCAGUUAGGACUUAGGAUGUAUGAGAACUUUUAAAGACAUUUUUCUAUAGUUAGGUUAAGAGAUAUAUGACGGAGAUGCCAGUGGUUGUGCCUGCCUUAUCCAAAAGCCAUAUAUUUUUGCAAAAAUAUAUUAUUACUUGAUGAGGUAUUUCGAGUUUGACCUCAAAAGUAAAGUAAUGAUGAAUCAGGAACUUCAUCUAAUCCUCACCCUAAAUAGCAUACUCCUUAUGCUACUAUUCUUUACUAACGAUGAACCAGGACCUUCAAUUAAUUCUGACCCUAGAUAGCAUGCACCCUCUGUUACUAUUAUUCAUUUAACGGCUGGCCAAGUGAGCUGCAGGAGCAAGAAUUGCAGGAUCAAAACAAAAACCCGAUGAAGGAUAUAAUGUCAAUGUGAUUUGUUGCCAACGCCAAUUCUCUACUAGAGCUCUAUGUGCAGCAACAGAAAGUAUGACUUCAUCACGAAAACAUCUUGAUCCUUCUUUUUUCGUACUACUAUUCUAUAGUAACAAAACACACCAUCAAGUUCCCAGGAUAUCUUGGUCAUUUUUCUGUUCUGUAAAACAAAACAUGUUUAAAGGAUUAUCAACUGUGGCUGAAAACCUGUACAUCCUUUGCUCAUCUAGAAAAUGGAGUUUAGCCUUACAAAGAAGAAGCAGAAAAGAAACUCGGAAGUCUAGUUUAUGCGCCUCUGCCUGUAUGUUUACAACUUGCAAGUGGCCUGAAUUUAUCAGUUGUUGAUAGAUGAAAGGCCAACCAAUUUAUGCCUAACAUUUGUGUCUCUACAUUUAUGCACUACCAUUAUAGAGCUCAAGGCAUCAUCAGCUGCACCACCAAGCAGGUCAAGAAGUUUGCCUAUGGUGAGUGCCUGUUUGGUUAUGUGUUCGUGGCUUUGUGCGCGACACCUGUUUGUUGUUUCGCCUCGGUCGUUUUGUCCGGUGUCCUGCAGUGUUGAAGGUGUUCCGGGAAACAAUGGUUGGCGCGGCGUUCACCAGUUAACGGUACACCACACCGUCGCCGCCACCGAUGGCAUCACCAAUGUCCGUCCGUCGAGGUUCACGACAUUGUGAGAUUGAAGACAGAGUUGUGUGUUCUGCUUUGUACAUUGGAGCGGCCCAUGACUAAGUUGGUCAGAUUGUCCUGUGCAUAUACUUCUCAAGCAGAUACGACCCAAUCAAGGGCUCCUCUUUGUGUAUCUCUCCAAGUAUUGGUCUGAGUUUCCAAGUCCUAAGUUAGCAGCAAUGCAGACUAUGCAGCGCCAUUACGUGCAUGCUCAGUGCAUCCAAGUGGUUUUCUCCCGCGGGGAGCGAGCGUGCCAGCCGCUACAUGAGGCAUAGUUGCAAUCUUAGUUUCCAAUUUAUGACCAAACAGCAACCUAGCAUGGAUAUUCCGAGUGCAUGAUUUUAUGACUUGAUGGUUGAUUUAGUAGAGCAGGAGGUGUUCCAGUUAUUUGAAAGAUAUAGGUGGUUGUUUCUAUAUAUGAGGCUGCCCCGAGGAAAUCUGUGGUGGUCUGGCCAUGAAGCUGUUUAUUUCCUCGAUGACAUUCAACUUUGUCACCGGUAGUUCUUACUGCUACUCAUCAGUACUUCAAGUCGUCAACAGAAAAAAACUAUGAUGCACAUUGUGGGCAAUCAUGGAGAGCUAGAUGAUGUUUGAUAAUAGCUACUGGUCUGACAUGAGCAAUGCCGGUCUUCUGGGAUUGGAAAGGUGUUUCGUGAAGCAACAAUCAUGCUACAAUCAAAUUUAAUGGCUAUUACAGCGGCAGAAAGGAGGAGGACGGCCUCCUGAUCCAGCGGGCCUGGGGGCGCCCAGCCAGGGCGUCGACGCGCUCUGUCAGCCUCCCCACGACGCGCUCACCUGCUGCUCCAUCCUACGAGCACCGCCAUCCUCUGGGCGCCGACGGGCCAGUAGUGUUUGCCCAGCUAUGCGUCCAGGCUACGGAAGGCGUGGGGCUUGCUGGUCAAGUAGGUUGCGCCCUCUCCAUCAUGAUGUCCUCCCUCACUGUGAGUGUUAACUGAUUAAUCAUGCACAUCCAUUUAAACAAAGAUUCAGAAAAAUGUUUGAUUCACUAAUUAAUCAACCAGUAAAGGACCAAUUGUUUAAUCCUACUAGCUAGACACUCCAUCCAUCCAAUCCAGUGAGUUUAAAUUUAUUAAUUUUUUACAUCCUUAAAUUAUAAAGAGUAAAGAAAAGAUUUAGGUGUUGGAGGAGUAGUCAGCAAGUGUUGUCUGCAAACCGAAUCCAGUUUCUGUGGAGAACAUUGAUUUGCCACCUCAGCUCAGUCCUAUUGAACGGAUUGAUUACUCUAUGAAAUAGUAGUUAGCCCAUAAUAGUAAUUCCACUCCAAUAUUGGAGGAAGUGUUGAUUGAGCUGAGAAAUUUACUUGACGAUGAAAGGAACGGCUUGCUUCCAAAUUUGCAAAAUAACUUCUCCAAGCUCUCAGAAGAGAAGCAAUAAUGUGACUCCAAGGUGUCCCUCUGAGAGAAAAGCUACCAAGGUGUCCCUCUGAGAGAAAAGCUAGAGAUGCUUUGGCGGUGGCAAAAUAAAGGGAAGUAAUUGCUAUGGACGCCAGCCAGUCAGAUAGCAGAUGAAAAGAGAAGGAUGAAGAAGUCAAGCUAUUGGAGAGGUCAAUUGAGGAGCUCGAUAGUACUUUAUUUGCUCUCGAAUGUAGCUUUAUUCAGUUUGAGUGAAUUUUGUGGCCUAACUGUUGUAGCUAUUCAUUUUUUUCAUGCAUUCUGAAUGUUAUUACACACGCAUGUUGGUACAAAACUCAUGUUGUUAUGCCUGCGUUAUGACAAGAACUUUCCCAGAUUUUUGUGCAUAAACAUACACAUGUGGACUAAACUCUUUCCCUUAUUUUUUGUUACUUGCUCAGCCAAUACAUAUCUAAUAUAGUUAUUUUCAUAUACUUCUAAUCCCUGAAAACACAAUACAAAUCCUAAAAGAAGUUAGUUUUUGUAAUCAUCGGAGAUUUUGCAAAAAAGUACCUAUGCUUUUUGGUAUUUAACCCGCAAUCCUAUUUUAAGUGGAUCUGAUAAAUUCGUUUUUACAAAAAACACCCUGAAUUUGCCGGUGUCCGCCGCCUCCGACCGCACCCUGCGCCUCCACGCGCGAUCUCGCGCUCGAGCCUCCCCGCCGCCCCGCGCCGGCCGCCGCCCAUCGCAUCGUCCCUCCCCGAACCUCACCGCCGGCAGCCUUUGCCCCUCUCCUCCGCUUCCCUCCCAGAUCAAAUGGAUCCCCCACCAAUCCAUCUCUCUCUCCCGCGACCCCUCUCUCUCUCCCUGGACACAUCUCCGCCGCCACAGAUGCCGGCCGAUCCCGGCAUUCUCCGGCGACUUUCGACACCACGCAGCACCGGCCCGGGCUCGCCUCGCUCCGCUGGGUCUUUUCCGCCAGCGGGAUUCGCCGCUCCCGGCCACCAGCGAUGACGUUAAGCCCUCACCAUGUCUAGGGUUUCGGGCGCCUCCACACUGGCGUGGCUCCGGCGCCUCCGGCGGAUCCUCUCCGACGCCCAUCGCGCCCCCACAGGCAUCUCCGUGUCCAGGAUGCUGCUCCUGUGCCCGCUGGCCAUGGGAUGUGCAGAGCAAGGAUUGGAUGCUUGAGGAAGGAGGGGUCGACCUUGCCUUGCUGCAGCUUGGGAUGCACCACCCAUGGAGCUUCCUCCUUUCUAUCUUCAGCUGAGUUCGCCCCCUCCUCGGCUCUUGUUCGUGGCCAUCAGAAAAUGUGUUGUAUACUGACGUAUUUCAAACUGAAAACAAUGAGUGCCAAUACAAGAUGUAUAGUAACCCCUUGUGAACUCGAUUCGUAUUGGGUAGUGAAUCGUCGUGAACCAAGGAAUUGCAGGUACAACAAUGCUUGGCAUUCAGGACGCAACGAAGCAGGAAAAAUCAAAGGUGGAUCUUGCCCAGCUGAUAAACAAGAAGGACACCGACCUAAGGGUGAUUACAGUGGGCGGAAAAGGUGCUGAUCUUGGGCAUACAUCGAUCAUCCGGGCAGUUUACAAGGAUCCAGAGAUCAAAAACAAUUUUCCGUGCCGAGCAUGGGUGAGGUUGAUGCAUCCUUUCAGUCCAGAAGACUUCAUUCAAAGUUUAGUAGAGCAGCUUCACGCAUCCGAAGGAGUUGACAUUCUGCUGGAAACAAAAAAGAUGGGGAAAGAGUUAGCUGAGGAAUUCAAUGGAUAUUUCAAUGCUAAGAAGUUCCUGAUUGUGCUUAAUGACUUAUCAACCAUUGAAGAGUGGAAUCGGGUUAAGAGGUGCUUCCCAAACAAUAAGAAAGGGAGCCUGAUAAUAGUGUCUACAAGGCAAGUUGAAGUUGCAAGCUUAUGUGCAGGACAAGAAAGCAUAGUAUUUGAGCUCAAGCAGUCGUCUGUUGAUCAGAAUAUUAAUGCUUUCUAUGAGAAGGUAACAUUCAAAGUUCUACUGCUUGUCCUCUUCUGAAUUAUACAGCAAGACUCGGUUAUAGUGUGGCCUUCGAAUCAGAACUACAAUAUUGACUUUGUAGCUGCAUGGUGGGAAUCAGUUUUUGUUAUCACUGAUCCUUCCAAACUGAAGCUUAGAGAGAUCAAAAUGUUACAUGCUGAACGGCCAGGAGUGAACUACUCAAGUCGUCCGACAGUGUCCCACGCCGACCUCCGGUGGAUCUCCUCCCGGAUCAGACCUAACCCCCGCACUACUUGGGGCCCUCCCCCAUGCCAUUGCAGCCCUCAGCUACGACGCCCAUUGCCUUCUCGAGAUCAACAACCACCUGCAAGAAAACUGUUCGAUCAAUCGACCCAACAGACAGGAGCCUAGAGAAUGGGGAGAAAGAGGAGGAGAUGUGGUUGUCAGCACGGUGUUGAACCACCGACGCGGCGGAAAAAUGAGCAUGUGUUGUGCAAGAGGAGAUCCACACUGCCAGCAUGUGUCUCUUCAACCAGUAUGAUCACGUCCUCGUGUGCCUUCGCCCGGCUGAUCCGGUGACGGCAAUUGUCAUCUUCUUAAAAUUUAGAUGGACAUUUGGAUGUUCUUGAUUUUUUUUCUUCUAAAAUGAACAUAACUGUCAGCUUCUUUCUUGGGUAAUCAAACUCCGGUGGAAUAAUAGUAUAACUCGUGUUUUUGUUUUAGGUCUUGCGCAUCUGGUGUACCCAAGGCCGUCCACAUGCGUUUUGAACAUUCAUUAGGUGUUUAUCGUCUAGCUGAGGAGGCUAUGAACAAUCUGAAAAAACUAGGUUUGUACCAUGAAGCACAUGCUCUAGAAAUGCUAUACAUGUUCUCCCUUAUGUUCUUUUGGUAAUCCACUUCACAACUGACUAAAUUGCACCACUGCCUGACCUGUGCUAUGUAUGAAUUUGAGGAUUUACUUGAGAAAACUUCUACUGAAGUUAAUGAUUCCCUGUCAAAUCCGCGCAUAUGUAACUGCAGCAAGAACUGCUUGUGAUGUGCAAGCUAGGAUCAGCUUGAACGUCUUAUUGAAUGCCUUCAUGGAGACAACGGUGAUACGUUCCAAGAUUGUAUUACCUUGGCCCGACUUAAGUUUGAAGAUUAUUUCUCCAACCAUGUGGACCAGCUGAAUUUUACUCUCCCUGAAGAUUCAGUGACCAGCUCUGGUGCUCCCUUUGAUCUGGUCUGCAGCAAGUACACUGCCUGAUCUUAGUUGUUGCCAGCAUCGUGGUUUGGAAAAAAGUGGUGUACGAAUGGCUUCUGAGGAUAGUUUGCACCAAGUACUUAAGGUCAGCCUACUUAUGCUGUUGUAAGCACAACUGUUCAAUUUUAAAUCAUUAGGAAGUGAGCAUAGCUUCUUUUAGGUUCUAUAAUUAUUAGAUGGCUUAAGUAGUGCCCUGUUGCUCUGUCAGUUCUCUGAAAAACAUUCAAGAAGGGAGCAAUCUUUUACUUAAUUCGGAAGCUCUUCAUUGUCAUUGUUAAUAUUUCAUUGCUUUCUAUAUAUUACGCAGCUACACAUAUGGCUGCCUUAAUCUCUUUACUCAAGACAAGCAUAAUAUGAAUACCCUAUUAUGAUGCCCCUCAUGUCCUUUUGUUGUUUGCCUUGCCAAUUUUGCUACACUAUUGUUACAUUGCAUCCAGAUUGCUCACAAUGUGGCGGGAUCUCAGACCUUUCUACUGAACUGAACUGAACAGAGAUAGAUAAAUCCAUAAUUAUUUUUUCUAAAAGUAAGGGCAAGUUCCUAAGAGGAUACAAAAAUCGCAUGAUCGGCUGUUCUCGACGUGGCAGUAUUUGGGAUAAUUUCAGGUCAUUUGGACCACGGGUGGGUAUAGCUUGUAAUGUGACAUCGGUUCUUGAAUUAGUUGUUUCAUGCCAUUUGGAAUGUUUAGAAAACACACUGUGUCAGUUGGUAUACUUAAAUGUCUGGUUUCAUUCAUUAUCACACCGUUGAAUUUAUAGGUAUUAAAAAUUAAAUGUGGUUGCAUCCAAUAUUUAUUUCUAUUGGUUGUUAAUCUGGUCUACUCUCUGUUUCUUACAAGAAAAAGCUACUCUAUGUUUCUUUCUUACAAUGAUCCAAUAAGAUAUGUGAAUCUUAGAGGCACAAAGGAACAUAUAUAUCUAUAGCAAAAAGCACAAGCGAUUAAGAGGACAUAUAGUGAUUGGAUGAGCUUCACGUCCAUGCCCCUGCUGCAUAUCAUGUCUCCCAGGUGUAGGUAUUAGCUUCCUGCAGUUCUAUUUUUGUAUACAGUAAUACAGGUGUGUAUUGAACACCAUGGGUUAGAGCUAGAACUUUUUCAUGAGUUAGUGUACGGUCAUGUUUGGAUCGAUGAUCCGUCUGAGUUUUUUUGAUAGCAUCAGCCAUUUGAGUUUAUCACACCUGUUAGUUAGACCAUGACAUGGAUAAAUCUACGACCUUAUAAUGGAAGGUGUGUACGGCUAUACUGUAGCUACCCAGAUGAGUUUCCUCAAGUCUGAUGAUCCAAGUCUUUGUAUAGGUUUCAGUACGUAAAUGAUCUUGAAGAUUAUGACUUCAGUAGGAAGGUUAGAGGCAAAAGUAUACAAAGUUACAGUCAGUAGACCAAUAAUUACACUUUAUCGACAAAAUAUUAGUUUCAGUUUGAUUUUCCUUUAUGCAUCAUCAUGUACUGAACUUUUUUUGUGGUGAUUUUGCCGACAACGUAAAGGUAUAGAUGUGUGUUUCUUCCGUCAUGCUAAAUUAAACAGAGUUGGAACUAUUUGUUAUGAUAGAACGACGACUAUAGAUGUAAUGAAAAACAGAGUAACAGACGGUUUGUUCUCAAGAAUUGUAGAAUUCAUCUAAGACACUGAUAGAAACUUGAAGAGCAUAUAAUAGCUCAGGCCCUUGUUCUAUCUCCCUUCUAUGUUGACUUGUUCAUUCAUCUAAGCACAAAUUCAGUUUCAGUGACUAAAGGUAUCUGUAAGUUCCACUUACAUUUUCUUCACUUUCUGAUUCGAGCGUGUGUGGUACACAACUCAAACUAUCCAUAUGAUAAUUUAAUUCUAAUGACUCUGCAAGCAUAUGCGAUUUGAUCUGGUGGGUUAAUUCUAAUGACUCUGCGGGCAUCUGAGGUUUGUCCUGCUAGGUUGUUAUGAUGCAUUCUGGAUGACUUCACUACUAAGUCCGAGAUCUGGGAACGAAACAAAUUUCAGGGCAACUAACAUGAUCAACCAGCAUCAAUGAAACUGACAUACAAUUUAUCGCCACUUGGAUUUGCAUACUAGCGACAGACAUGAUUUGUAAGGAGGAAACUAGAUGAGGACAGUUCUGGUCUGAUGCUUCAAUAGGGAUGCCUAGGUAAUUAUGACUGGAUGUGUUUACAAGAUAUGCUUUUAAGUGCAUGAGGUUGCAACCUAUAAUGGUACACUGUAGACCUUCAUUUAUUGAAAUAGACGAGUGAAAUUUUUAUGAUUCAAAUAUUUAA
Triticum aestivum (bread wheat) is the source of this 8219-nucleotide long non-coding RNA. RefSeq lists it as uncharacterized. Lineage: Eukaryota; Viridiplantae; Streptophyta; Magnoliopsida; Poales; Poaceae. The transcript is spliced from 8 exons. The record is from RefSeq and is a predicted model, not a curated record.